GACGAACGCUGGCGGCGUGCUUAACACAUGCAAGUCGAACGGAAAGGCCCUGCUUUUGUGGGGUGCUCGAGUGGCGAACGGGUGAGUAACACGUGAGUAACCUGCCCUUGACUUUGGGAUAACUUCAGGAAACUGGGGCUAAUACCGGAUAGGAGCUCCUGCUGCAUGGUGGGGGUUGGAAAGUUUCGGCGGUUGGGGAUGGACUCGCGGCUUAUCAGCUUGUUGGUGGGGUAGUGGCUUACCAAGGCGUUGACGGGUAGCCGGCCUGAGUGGGUGACCGGCAACAUUGGGACUGAGAUACGGCCCAGACUCCUACGGGAGGCAGCAGUGGGGAAUAUUGCACAAUGGGCGGAAGCCUGAUGCAGCAACGCCGCGUGCGGGAUGACGGCCUUCGGUUUGUAAACCGCUUUCGCCUGUGACGAAGCGUGAGUGACGGUAAUGGGUAAAGAAGCACCGGCUAACUACGUG
RNAcentral lists this ribosomal RNA (468 nucleotides) under uncultured bacterium. RNAcentral describes it as "partial 16S ribosomal RNA". It matches the Rfam family "Bacterial small subunit ribosomal RNA", at positions 28 to 507 of the family's 1533-position model. The record is from RNAcentral.